Molecule: long non-coding RNA, 3371 nt
Filed under: Bos indicus x Bos taurus (hybrid cattle)
Lineage: Eukaryota; Metazoa; Chordata; Mammalia; Artiodactyla; Bovidae
Description: lncRNA (ENSBIXG00000015415.1)
Source: RNAcentral
GCCCUGUUUAAUUCAUUUACUUCAAAUCUUGACAAAUAAGGCCUUCCUUGCUUAAUCUAAAUAUAUACUUAAUGAUUUAAAUAUCACUCAGUACCCUCUUGGUUCAACUGGAGUGUCCAGUCUGGUUGGAAUAUCAAGAUGAAGCUAUUUCUGAUCCUCUGCCAGUUCCUUCUUGAGGUCAGGGGCUAGAACUUACCCUCUGGCUACUAUUACUGCCACGCCUUCUGAUUGCCAAAGAGCAUUUUCAUUUUUCGGUCCAGACCAUAUUUGGUGUCCUGAGGAGAGAACUGGUUGCCUCUCUUUCUGCAAAUCAGGUUGGUAACGGAUAAAAGCACCAGGUGUCAAGGUCUGGAGUUCCAUUGACUACCUUUGGUUUGCCCACACAUUCCAAAUGCCUUCCUUAGUUUUCCGCAGCUCGUUCCCCUUGAUUCUGUCGUUUUACUCCCAAAGGACUCGAGUUUUCUUUUCUGUAAAUCUGCUCAUUCCUUUCCCCUCGUAUUGUUGGGGGUGGGGGGUGGCGGGGGGAGUGUCUCCUGGCAAGUGAGGCUCACAGUGUUAAAAGGGCCAAGAGGUCGUGGGCCGGGGCCUCCCCUCAUGGAAGUGACCUCCAGGCCUUUGCGGGGGUUGCCCGGGCGAGCGCAGACCUGACGCCCGAGCGGGGCCAAGGUUGUCGGGGUUUCUCCGGGCGGAGGCUGGCCCUCGCGGCGGGCGGGCGGGCGGAGGCGGCGGACGGCUCCGCGCGUGGCCUGACGGAGGCGCAGGCCCACCGCCGAGUGAGGGAAUGCGAGGCGGGCCCGGCGCGCACGGGCAGCAGCGGCCGCUGAGGCGCGCGGGGCACGGCGGUGCCGCCGUGUAGAGCUGUCAGGCCGGUCCGCGGGCGCGCCCGGCCCCGCGCCCCGCCGGCCGCCGCCUCCAUCCCCGCCCGCGGCCCGCGCUCCGAGCGCCCAGACCCGAGGCGGCCCGCACGUGCGCCCGCUCGCCGCCCGCCAGCCGACGAUCUGGGAGCAUGCCCGCGGGAGUCCGGCCGCUCGCCCGGGGCCAGCUGGCGGCGGCGGCGGCGCGUGGAGCCGCGGGGCGCAGCCGGCCGGGUUGGGGCCACCGGGCCGGAGUCUCCCGGGCCGCGUGAGGCGGCGGCGGCCCAGCGCGGCCGAAGAGGACGGAGCAGCGCCGUGCAGAGCGGGGAUGCUGGCCAGGCUGCCCUGGUGCCCGAUACCCUUCUGUGGGCCUCGAGAGUAGGACGUCAGCGCUGCCUUCCCACACAGACCCGCAGGUAUGGACUGCCCCCCUCAAGCUGUGGAGUUUGGGUGUGCAGGGGCUCAACUGCCGUUUCCUCUUCUGUAAAUAUCUGACUUUGUCUGAUUUACAUGGGGUAGAUUGUAUUCAUCGAUCCUGCGUCUUGUAGAUAUUGACUCAUCUUCACCUAGCAGGAGGGGUUGAUGUUCUGUCUCUGGUAGCUUUGGCUUCCCCGGGGCAGCCUGUGUUACUCUCCUUUGUACAGGGCACCCUGGGGGUGCUUCUCUGCUCUUGGUUCCCUGGCUCAGCCUGGUCCUCCCCACCCCAGUCAGAGACAGGACCAGAGUUUUGGGGCUUCCAGGGUGAGCUUCCCAGGUGGUGCUAGUGUAAAGAACCCGCCUACCAAUUCAGGAGACGUAAGAGACAUGGGUUCAAUCCCUGGGUCAGGAAGAUCCCCUGGAGGAGGACCUGGCAACUCACUCCAGUAUUCUUGCUGGAGAAUCCUAUGGACAGAGGAGCCUGGUGGGCUACAGUCCAUGGGUCACAAGGAGUCGCACACGACUGAAGCGUCUGAGCACGCAGUCUGGGUGCUGGUUUGCCGUGUCUCACAAGUUGUGGUUGGCAACACGGAAACAACAGUGUGAGUGUUUUCGGGUAACCACCUCCCUGGAGGAAACUGAAGCCGGAGGCUGUGAUGGGCUGGGAUCCUCUAUGGAGUCAGGACCAGUAGCGCAUCCCCCAGGGGCUGGCCCUUUCUCUCCUUCUGCCCCGAAUUCUCACAGGAGCCCCCAUGCUGGCUUCCGGUCCAUCUCAUCCCAUUGCUGUCCUGAGUCUCAGGCCCCGGCUUCCCUCUGUCCCCUUUUCGUCACACCCAAGGCCUCUUUCGGGCAGAGCAGCUGAAGUGAUGUUGCCUUUUCCUUUCCUGAACAUCGAUGAACCCUUCUCCCUGUGUGCUAAUUGGCUGGUUUGAGCUUUGGGGCUCAGAGAAGGGACAUUCCAUUUGGGGAAACUAACCUGGAGGGAGAAGAAGGGAGCACUAAAGUCUCUGGUUUCUGCUGUGUCGGCUGGGCUAUGGGUUGUAAACGCACUGCCUCUGCUAAGCACACAGUAACUUGUGCAGAGGCCCUUGCCUGCACGCGUGCUUAGUCGCUCAGUCGUGUCUGACCCUUUGGACUGUAGCCUGCCUGCCAGGCUCCUCCAUCUAUGGGAGAUUUUCAGGCAAGAAUACUGACAAUCCCUGUUUUACAUGAGGCAGCUGAAGCUCAGAGAGGGCAAGUAUCUGGCUCAAGAUCACACAGCUAGUCAGUGGUGAUCUUGGCAUUGGACCCCAAGUCUAGACCCAUGCACAUGACGUGGUUUCCCAAACACAGCUGGGCUUCCCCAUGGGCUGGGGGCCUGGCUCCAGGUAAGUCCCCCUGCCCUCCCCACCUCUCCCCUUCCCCACCACACCUCGCUUGGGCUUCCUCUGCUCCCUGGGCACAUGGGGCCCAGCAGACAAGGCCACAGCCAUGGACCCACUCACUGCCGUGUUUCACCGUGGGCUGUCUCCUCUAAUUGCUCACCCGUUUUUGUUGCUGUGAAAAGGCCUCCAAGUGCUAAGAAGAGAGAGUGCUGUGUUUUUUUUUUUUCUUUUUUGUGUUGUAUUUUUUGUUCUGUUGUUUUGCGUGAAUUUUCUCAAAUGGGUAUUUGGGGAAGGAGUUGACAUGGGGACACAGGGGCCUCUCUGCCUCUCCGCGGCCACUUGCCCUCCUGCUGGCUGGGGGUGGGGGCCUAGUUAGCCCUCCUCGGCCCACACAGCCUGGCCUGAGCUCUGACAGCAGCUCAUGUCGGUUGGAGGGGCCCUGCUCCCACGGAGCCUUCGCUUCCUGUUUCCUCUUCUACAGGAAGGGGGUUCUUGUCCUUCCUGAUGGCCUCACACCCAGUUCCGUGGUGUUACGGACAGUGGGCUUACAGCCUCCCCUCAUCUGCAGGUCCUCACUUAGAACUCCUCGGGGGACUCCCCUGGCGGUCCAGUGGUUAAGACUCUGCCUUCCAGCGCAGGGUACACGGGUUUGAUCCCUGGUUCGGGAACUAAAAUGCCACACGCCUCACGGCCAAAAAGAAACCAAAAAAAUAAAUAAAUAAGAAAAAUAGAAGCA